RNAcentral lists this ribosomal RNA (253 nucleotides) under uncultured bacterium. RNAcentral describes it as "partial 16S ribosomal RNA". It matches the Rfam family "Bacterial small subunit ribosomal RNA", at positions 524 to 776 of the family's 1533-position model. The record is from RNAcentral.
GACGUAGGGCGCGAGCGUUAAUCGGAAUUACUGGGCGUAAAGUGUGCGCAGGCGGCCGCGCAAGUCGAGUGUGAAAUCCCCGAGCUUAACUUGGGAAUUGCGCUCGAAACUACGUGGCUGGAGUGUGGCAGAGGAAGGUGGAAUUCCACGUGUAGCGGUGAAAUGCGUAGAGAUGUGGAGGAACACCGAUGGCGAAGGCAGCCUUCUGGGCCAACACUGACGCUCAUGCACGAAAGCGUGGGGAGCAAACAGG